UGGGGUACGGCUCAGUGGUAGAGUACUUGCUCAGUAUGCACGAGGUCCUGGGUUCAAUCCCCAGUACCUCCA
RNAcentral lists this transfer RNA (72 nucleotides) under Camelus bactrianus (Bactrian camel). It matches the Rfam family "tRNA". Rfam says of the family: Transfer RNA (tRNA) molecules are approximately 80 nucleotides in length. Their secondary structure includes four short double-helical elements and three loops (D, anti-codon, and T loops). Further hydrogen bonds mediate the characteristic L-shaped molecular structure. tRNAs have two regions of fundamental functional importance: the anti-codon, which is responsible for specific mRNA codon recognition, and the 3' end, to which the tRNAs corresponding amino acid is attached (by aminoacyl-tRNA synthetases). tRNAs cope with the degeneracy of the genetic code in two manners: having more than one tRNA (with a specific anti-codon) for a particular amino acid; and 'wobble' base-pairing, i.e. permitting non-standard base-pairing at the 3rd anti-codon position. RNAcentral also lists the same sequence under 2 other names. Lineage: Eukaryota; Metazoa; Chordata; Mammalia; Artiodactyla; Camelidae. The record is from Rfam by way of RNAcentral.